GUCAAGUUUUGUUUACAAACAAUGUGCCAGAUGUUGCUGGCGUUAAGAAAUUUACGAAUAGAAUAUUUAAAGAAGUAUUCCUGAUUUCCAUUUCAAAACACGUCGCUGUGAAUAUGGAAUCUGCAGGAGAGAUAGAUGCAGCAGCAGUGGAUAGCGAAGUGGAUAUCAAGGAAGAACCAAUAUUAACUGAACCCAGCCAGCAACCAUGUGAAGAAGAUGAACACAUCAUCAUUAAAGAAGAAAAUAUUAUUUUUGAAGAUUCUGAUGCAUGUGACCCAGUACAGAUGAAGAAAGAGG
Long non-coding RNA from Schistocerca nitens (vagrant locust), 297 nucleotides. RefSeq lists it as uncharacterized. The record is from RefSeq and is a predicted model, not a curated record. Lineage: Eukaryota; Metazoa; Arthropoda; Insecta; Orthoptera; Acrididae. The transcript is spliced from 4 exons.